AUGGAACAGAGGAUGCAUACAAAAUGCAAUCAGAAACCUGCCUCUGUGCCUCUUUUUUUCUUCUACAUGACUUCCACCUGCAGGUCGGCCUGGAUACUGCGCUUUGUGGCAAAACCAGCUGGAACAGCACGUAGGUCCUACUUUUCCAGCAGAAGGCUGGAAGAACUGUGGCUUAUUUUGGAGGACCUUACUCUGGCUUUCUAAUAAGAACAAACAGGCAGACUCUGCAGAGAUACUGACAUUCUUCCAUGCCUAUGGCUGAUGUGUAGCAAUAGUUUUCAUUGAAUGGGCUGGAGGUCAGACAAACUAUGAACAGUUAAGAAGUGGAAAGAUUCCUAGAAAGAAAGAAGAAACUCCUCAGCCUGGCCUGAGAAAAGCAGUGAGCUGUGAUUGGGAGAAGCUCUGUGGAAGAGUUUACAAGGACCUGGUCUCACCAGAGAGGGUAAGGCGG
This 451-nucleotide long non-coding RNA is filed under the name Apteryx owenii (little spotted kiwi). RNAcentral's name for it is "lncRNA (ENSAOWG00000017813.1)". Lineage: Eukaryota; Metazoa; Chordata; Aves; Apterygiformes; Apterygidae. The record is from RNAcentral.